UAAAGCCUUUCGCUUACACCGAAGAACUAUCUGUUAAACCCAGAUUAUUUUGAGCUAAAAAUUUAACCCCACCUUCUUUUAUGCCCACCACAAGACUUAAAUUAUAUAACUAAAACAUUCUUACAGUUUAGUAGAGGCGAUCAAAAAACUAACAGGAGUAAUAAAUAAUGUACCGCAAGGGAAAAAUGAAAUAAAAAUGAAAUACUAUCAAGCAAAAAAAAGUAAAGAUUAAUCCUUGUACCUUUUGCAUCAUGAUUUAACUAGCCUACCCCGGCAAAACGACUUUUAAGUCAGACCUCCCGAAACUAAGUGAGCUACUUCAAGGCAGCUUAAUGAGCUUAUCCGUCUCUGUUGCAAAAGAGUGGAGAGACCUUCAAGUAGAGGUGACAGACCAAACGAACUAAGUGAUAGCUGGUUACUCGAGAAAAGGAUCUUAGUCCCGCCCAAAGAAAACACUAUUAAUUAAAAAUAAAAAUUUUCGACUUUAAAGCAAUUCAAUUAAGGUACAGCCUACUUGAUACAGGAAACAACCUAAACUAACGGAUAAUCAUUAUACACCCUCCCCUUUUAAGUGGGCCUAAAAGCAGCCACCUUUAAAAUAGCGUCAAAGCUUCAUUAUACAUGUAUCUAAUACCAAAUUUAUUAUUUAACCCUUUAUUAAUAUCGAGUAAAUCUAUAAAACUAUAGAAAUUUUUAUGUUAAAACUAGUAACAAGAGUUAGAUUUUCUCUUUAUGUAAGUGUAUAUCAGAAAGGACACACCACUGACUAUUAACAUCUAUGACCUUAGAGCAGCAACUUGACAAGAAAACCCUCCUCCCCUAAAUGUUAAUCUAACACAAGCACAUACCAAGAAAGAUUAAAAGAAAAAGAAGGAACUCGGCAAACAUUAACCCCGCCUGUUUACCAAAAACAUCGCCUCUUGCAAAACUUAAGAGGUCUAGCCUGCCCAGUGACUCUGUUCAACGGCCGCGGUAUCCUAACCGUGCGAAGGUAGCGUAAUCACUUGUUCUUUAAAUAAGGACUAGUAUGAAUGGCAUCACGAGGGUUACACUGUCUCCUUUUUCUAAUCAGUGAAACUAAUCUUCCCGUGAAGAAGCGGGGAUCAUUAUAUAAGACGAGAAGACCCUAUGGAGCUUUAAACAAACAACAUUUGCUAACUCACCCGCGAUACUCAGGUCGCUAAUCUUAAUCCUAGCACUAUGAUUUCAAGUUUUUGGUUGGGGUGACCGCGGAGUAAAAAUUAACCUCCACAAUGAAAGAACUCUCUAAGUAAAAAGCUACUACUUUAAGCAUCAAUAAAUUGACAUUCAUUGACCCAAUAUUUUGAUCAACGAACCAAGUUACCCUAGGGAUAACAGCGCAAUCCACUUUAAGAGCUCUUAUCGACAAGUGGGCUUACGACCUCGAUGUUGGAUCAGGGUACCCCAGUGGUGUAGCCGCUACUAAAGGUUCGUUUGUUCAAC
Molecule: ribosomal RNA, 1464 nt
Filed under: Hylodes pipilans
Lineage: Eukaryota; Metazoa; Chordata; Amphibia; Anura; Hylodidae
Description: partial 16S ribosomal RNA
Rfam family: Bacterial large subunit ribosomal RNA
Source: RNAcentral